GAGAGAAACGUACUGUGAUUGAGUCUGGACUAGCUGACCGUUAUGAAACACCUGAACACUGUGGUCUGCUUUCGCCCAAGAAAAAGAGAUGUAAUCUAAUUCAGGAGUCCUCAGACCAAGACCAACCUUAUGUCCCUAAACUGAGGAGGACCAAAAGCAUUCAGAUUAACAGACAAACCGAUUUUGAUUCCUAUGAGCUUUUUGAGACAUCAGAUGAAAGUGAAGAAGAAUAUGUUCCUGAUACAAGCGAGGAUUCAUCUGAUGAAACGGACACCAGUGAAGUUUUUGAAACAUCCAAUCAGAAGAAAAUUACAUUAAGGGGACGCUCACUCGUACGAAAGGGCAGUGCUUUGAAACGGAAAAGGCACCAUUCCAGAAGUGUAUCCUGUUGCCGAACACAUUCUUUUGGUGGACAGUCAUCAGAAACUUCAUACACUGAAGACCCUCAUGGAAGCUCGACACUGGUUUGUCCUGACAGUACUACUUCCCCCACUUCAGAUGUAGCUGACGACUUACUUACCGUACCUGCUGUCUGUAAAAAAGAGGAUGGAUCACGACAAUAUAACAAAAAACAGUACUGUUUAUACUGUAAAAAGGGAUUUAUAAAAAUGGCCAGGCAUUUAGAGCGUGCUCAUAAAAACGAGAAAGAAGUUGCACAGGCUGGGUCUUUUCCAAAAGGUUCUAAACAAAGAAGACUGCAUCUGGAACAUUUGAGAAAUAGAGGCAACUUCGCCCACAAUUCUGAGGUCUUAAAUACUGGUGUUGGAAAGCUUGUUCCUCGGAAACAACCAAAAGAUGAUUCUAAACCCAGAGAUUUUGAUCACUGUAUAUAUUGUCAAGGCUAUUUCACAAAGAAAGUUAUGUGGCGCCACAUGAUGAUAUGCAAGUUUAAGCCUAGUGGCCCUACGAAGCCUGGCAAAACACGGGUGCAAGCACUUUGUGCUUUUGCUGUACCACCACCACCUGGAGUCAAAGCAGAAUUCUGGAAGGUCCUAAACCAUAUGAUUCAAGAUGACGUUUACUUUGCAGUUAAAUCUGAUGUCUGGAUCAUGGAGUAUGGUGUGCAUUUGCAUAACAAGCAUGGAUAUGAUGUUGGCAAACAUGAAUAUAUCCGUCAGAAAAUGAGGGAACUGGGAAGGCUUUUGAUUUGUUCGAGGAAAACCACUCCCUUGAAGACCAUCGAAGAUCACAUGAAGCCUGAAAAUUUCAUGCAUGUUGUGCAAGCUGUGCAACUCGUGGCUGGCUUUGUCUCUGAAUCCAGCACCUACAAGCGUCCAAGUCUUGCACUAAAAAUUGGGCAUAGUCUGGUGAAGAUAUCGCUGCUUCUUGAAGCCCGUGCAAGUAUGCAAAACAACCAACCAGCAGCAAAAGAUGCUCGUAGGUUCCGCUCAGUGUACGAAGCCAGAUGGAACGAACUCAUUUCAGCUGCAUCACUGAGAACAAUGCAUGAAUCGAAAUGGAAUGUUCCUCAGUUGAUUCCGUUCACUAAGGAUGUUCAGAAACUCCACUCCUAUUUGGACAUGCAGCAGGAACAGUUUUACAACGAACUGUCCUCAGAGCCGUCUAAAAACACUUGGGUACAUCUGACUAAAAUCACUUUGACACAAGUCAUGAUGUUCAACCGACGUAGAACAGGAGAAGUUUCAAAAAUGCCCCUCUCUACCUAUUUUGCUCCAAAUCCAGUAGAUCUGCAGGAAGAUGUGGGUAUGGCGCUUUCAGAGCUAGAGAAAAAACUCUGUCAGCAUUUCAGGAGGUUGGAGAUACGAGGAAAAAGAGGAAGAAAGGUCCCUGUCCUCCUAACUCCAGAAAUGCAGAGAUCGUUGGACCUCCUUGUUGCCAAGCGACUUGAGUGUGGGAUUCUUAAGGAAAAUGGCUACCUAUUUGCCAGGCCGUCUGUAUUGACCUGCUACCGUGGUUCUGAUUGUAUCAGAGAUUUUGCCAAGGUCUGUGGUAUUGCAAACUACACAAGUCUCACUUCUACAAAACUGCGCAAGCAAACCGGAACACUCUCUCAAGUUCUCAACCUCAGUAAUACAGAGCUGGACCAAUUAGCCAAUUUCCUUGGCCAUGAUGUCAGAGUCCAUCGGCAAUUUUACAGGCUGCCUGAAGGGACCCUUCAACUUGCUAAAAUUAGCAAAGUCCUCUUGGCUCUUGAACAGGGGCGUUUGGCAGAAUUCAAAGGCAAAGGCCUGGAUGACAUCACAAUCGGUCCAGAAGACUUUCAUCCCCUUGCUCAUCUCAGAGAGUGUGAACCUUGACAGUGACCAUGAGGCACAGGAGAAUGUAGACAGUGACACUGAGGUACAGCGUGAGUCUGACACACAAGAAACCCAGUCUCAGAAGAGAGAGAGGAGUACAGAAGGGUUGAUGGAGAAAGAGGUCAAGGUUAAGUUGGAAAAGAUGAGUGAAGUAAUCUAUAACUAUGUCUUAGACAGGUUUGGAUGUGUGUGCCUUGAUCAAGAAUAGUUUUCUUCAUAUGUUUCCUUAAGAAAACUAGUUUUCUUUCCCUUUUGCUUGGAUGGGGGGUUUUGAACCUGGGUUGCCCGUUUGUGAGGCAAGUGCCUUGGCCAUUGUGCUACAGUGGAGUUGAAGAUCAGUGUAACUUAAGGUAAUAUGUGCAAUGUGAAUAGGUACACCCCAGACCAGUAGAGGGCAGCAAUGCAGAUUCUUGGUCAGUAGAAGCACAGCUGAAGAAGAGCAGACUAAGUUCCGUGGAGCUAGCGACAGUAAGCGACAGUACGCGACAAUAGCGGGCAAUAUGGCGGCGAAAAGCGUCAAAAUAAAGUACAAAAGCGGACACAGAGUGUUUUACGGCUAAAUGAACGGGAAAGCAGUUCAGAUGGAGACGACAGAAGAAAAAGUGUCCAGAAGAAAAAGUCCAAGACCAUUCACAAGCCACAGAAGAGGAGGCCCUGGGAAACCGAGGAGAUAGCUGCUGUGGAAAAACACAUGAGAAACUUCAUUUUGACCUGCAAUGUUCCAAGAAAGUGUGACUGUGAUAAGUGCCUUAAAUCAGAGCCAGUUGCACUAAAAAAUAGAGACUGGAAGGCACUCAAAUUUUACAUAAAAAAUCGAAUUACUGCACUGAAGAGGAAAAUGUGAAAUGAGGAAGGAUGAUAGACAGGAAAGAGAUGAGAGGGGGUAGAGUUUGGGGGUACCAUAUAGAGA
Alosa sapidissima (American shad) is the source of this 3168-nucleotide RNA transcript. RefSeq lists it as uncharacterized. Lineage: Eukaryota; Metazoa; Chordata; Actinopteri; Clupeiformes; Clupeidae. The record is from RefSeq and is a predicted model, not a curated record. The transcript is spliced from 8 exons.